RNAcentral lists this long non-coding RNA (291 nucleotides) under Coffea arabica (coffee). Its description in RNAcentral is "long non-coding RNA (CARA_LNC000677)". Lineage: Eukaryota; Viridiplantae; Streptophyta; Magnoliopsida; Gentianales; Rubiaceae. The record is from RNAcentral.
UAUCUUGCACUGGUCAAACCGGUCACCAUGCUGAAACAUGGGGCGACUAGCUGGAAUGUUAGUAUCUUCAAAACGAUCUCCCUGCUGAAAAAUAGAACGGUUGCUGGAUACAUUAGUAUCUUCAAAGAUAUUACCCUCCAUCAUUAUCCCUUGGCCAUGAAGGUAAUUGUCAGAUUGACAUUGCAUGCCAGGUUGCUGAACAGAUUGCUCUUUAAUCACAGCGGCAUUCCCAGAAUCUGCAUUCUUGUUGCCUUGGAUAUUAGACUCAUAAAAUGACAUGAGGUCAUUGAU